This 644-nucleotide long non-coding RNA is filed under the name Homo sapiens (human). RNAcentral describes it as "non-protein coding lnc-ABCA13-2:1". The record is from RNAcentral. Lineage: Eukaryota; Metazoa; Chordata; Mammalia; Primates; Hominidae.
AAACUAAGAAGGAAUCAGAUGGAAGCACAAUUUUCACAACUACCUGGAUCUUCCAACUCUGAAGUCAGUUUCUCCUCCUGAGUCUUCUAAAGCUACCAUUAAUAUUCUCUUGCAAGUUUUAGGUUACCAAGGUAUCACCUGAUAUUACAACAUGCAACAGUGUUUAAAUGUGGUUUUCACAGAUUCUUGUUAAUAAAGCACUCUUUGGUGGAAGACAAGCAGCUUGGGUACUUAUCAGAGUUAAUAUUACUACAGUAUUACAAACAGUCAAGUGAAGAUGAUAAAGCCAAAUAGUAUCAAAUUACAGAAAGUACCAUUUCAGUAAUGCCUUUUGUAUCUUUACAAAUUUUGACACAGGGUCGCAAGCUGAACAGAAAAUAAAUACAUAAAAAACCUCCAUCAGAUCCUCAAUUCUUCUGAAGGCCAGCAACUACAAUGCUUGCCAUCACAAGGACACACAUGCACCACAGACCAGCCAGCUCCCUGGGUACCAGAGGGCUUGGGUAUUUACACCUGAGACUAAAUUUACAACAGCAUUUUUGUCAUUCAGCUUGAGAGCUGGGCCUUUCUUUGAGUCAUUCUUUUUGGGAGCAAGCCCCCAAAAUCCAGCCAUAAACUGGCCCCAAAACUGGCCAUAAACAAAA